AAAACCAAGGAAACCAAAAUUUCUGACCCUGCCAAACUAGAGAACAUUUAAGAUGCUGAUUAGUAGUAGAAACUAUACUGAUUUCAGAAUCCUCUUUCAAAAACAGCCAAAUAUUGCCUUCUUCUAAGUCAUUGGAGAUCACCUCAGCCUUCAAUGAGCUAUGGAAAACAGUACGACUACAUCCACGAAGAUGAAUGUUCAGCUGGAUGGUAUUGAUGCCAAACCAGACAAAGAUGAAGACGAAUACACAAAGAUUGAUGAAGACGAAGCAACUCGCCCACGGAGACACUCGUGUGCACGACACCCAUUUCGCCGGACACCCAUAUCUCUUUCUUCUCAACUAUGGAAGACGAAGAUGAAGAAGCUACCAAAUAUGCCGCUGCAUCUCUUCCUCUUUCAGUCAGUUUUGAGUUUUGUUUCUUUUCAGUUGUGGAAGACCCAGACGAAGAAGCUCAACACCCACGAACGCUUCUUCCUCUUUCCACUUCUAAUUUAUGUUUUCUUUCUAAUUUCGUCUAAUUUCGUCUAGUUUCUUUUUUUUCGUUUUUUUUUUUUAUUCAACUGAUGUGGCUUGCCCGCUUCCCCCUCGGUUACCCGUCCUGGUGGUACGUAGAAGAACUGUUAUGUUCCAGGCAAGAUUUCGGUGUGUUUGAACCAAAUUCCAUUA
Molecule: long non-coding RNA, 667 nt
Organism: Carya illinoinensis
Lineage: Eukaryota; Viridiplantae; Streptophyta; Magnoliopsida; Fagales; Juglandaceae
Exons: 2
Source: RefSeq, a predicted model, not a curated record